GCGAGCGUAGUCUAGCCUGGUAGGACGCUGCCUUGCCAAGGCAGCAGCCCGGGUUCAAAUCCCGGCACUCGCA
RNAcentral lists this transfer RNA (73 nucleotides) under Microcaldota archaeon. Its description in RNAcentral is "tRNA-Gly". It matches the Rfam family "tRNA". From Rfam's summary of the family: Transfer RNA (tRNA) molecules are approximately 80 nucleotides in length. Their secondary structure includes four short double-helical elements and three loops (D, anti-codon, and T loops). The record is from RNAcentral. Lineage: Archaea; Nanobdellati; Microcaldota.